RNAcentral lists this transfer RNA (143 nucleotides) under Plenodomus lingam JN3. Its description in RNAcentral is "tRNA-Leu (TAG) (tRNA-Leu-TAG-1-1)". The stretch from base 1 to 82 matches the Rfam family "tRNA". Rfam says of the family: Transfer RNA (tRNA) molecules are approximately 80 nucleotides in length. Their secondary structure includes four short double-helical elements and three loops (D, anti-codon, and T loops). The record is from RNAcentral. Lineage: Eukaryota; Fungi; Ascomycota; Dothideomycetes; Pleosporales; Leptosphaeriaceae.
GGUCAGAUGGCCGAGUGGUCUAAGGCGCUGCGUUUAGGCCGCAGUCUUCACGGGCGUGGGUGUAAGUUUUCCCCUCUUACUACCUCCAUCAGUUGGGUAUCCAGUCCUAACAUUAUUCCCCCAGUCGAAUCCCACUCUGAUCA